RNAcentral lists this transfer RNA (81 nucleotides) under Mycobacterium bohemicum DSM 44277. RNAcentral's name for it is "tRNA-Ala". The record is from RNAcentral. Lineage: Bacteria; Bacillati; Actinomycetota; Actinomycetes; Mycobacteriales; Mycobacteriaceae.
CAGCGGGUAGUCGAACUUGUGCAUGUCGACGAACUUGGCCUGCUUGCCCACCGGGUCGGUGCUGAUGCCGACCCGGCUGGC